GGGCCCGUCGUUCAAUGGCAGGACACAUGGCUGGCAGUCAUGGAACGGGAGUUCGAUUCUCCCUGGGUCCACAA
Molecule: transfer RNA, 74 nt
Filed under: Candidatus Woesebacteria bacterium RBG_16_41_13
Lineage: Bacteria; Candidatus Woeseibacteriota
Also listed under: 6 other names
Description: tRNA-Ala
Rfam family: tRNA
About the family: Transfer RNA (tRNA) molecules are approximately 80 nucleotides in length. Their secondary structure includes four short double-helical elements and three loops (D, anti-codon, and T loops). Further hydrogen bonds mediate the characteristic L-shaped molecular structure. tRNAs have two regions of fundamental functional importance: the anti-codon, which is responsible for specific mRNA codon recognition, and the 3' end, to which the tRNAs corresponding amino acid is attached (by aminoacyl-tRNA synthetases). tRNAs cope with the degeneracy of the genetic code in two manners: having more than one tRNA (with a specific anti-codon) for a particular amino acid; and 'wobble' base-pairing, i.e. permitting non-standard base-pairing at the 3rd anti-codon position.
Source: RNAcentral